AGGGUUUGAUCCUGGCUCAGGACGAACGCUGGCGGCGUGCUUAACACAUGCAAGUCAAGGAGAACGUUUUCUUCGGAAAAUUAUUAAACUGGCGAACGGGUGAGUAACGCGUAGGCAACCUGCCCUAGAGAUUGGGAUAACCCCGGGAAACCGGGACUAAUACCGAAUAAUGCAGCGGAUCCUUUGGGAUACAGUUGUUAAAGUGGGCUUCGGCUCACACUUUAGGAUGGGCCUGCGUCCGAUUAGCUUGUUGGUGAGGUAAUGGCUCACCAAGGCGAUGAUCGGUAGCUGGUUUGAGAGGACGAUCAGCCACACUGGGAUUGAGAUACGGCCCAGACUCCUACGGGAGGCAGCAGUGGGGAAUUUUGCGCAAUGGGGGAAACCCUGACGCAGCAACGCCGCGUGACCGAUGAAGCUUCUAGGAGCGUAAAGGUCUGUCGUAAGGGAAGAAAUGUUUGGAUGUAAAUAAUGUUCGAACCUGACGGUACCUUACAAGAAAGCACCGGCUAACUUAGUGCCAGCAGCCGCGGUAAUACUAGGGGUGCAAGCGUUGUCCGGAAUCAUUGGGCGUAAAGGGUCCGUAGGCGUCUCUAUAAGUCACUUGUUAAAGACACCGGCUUAACCGGUGGAAUGCAUGUGAAACUGUUGAGAUAGAG
Molecule: ribosomal RNA, 656 nt
Filed under: uncultured bacterium
Lineage: Bacteria
Description: bacterial SSU rRNA
Rfam family: Bacterial small subunit ribosomal RNA
Source: RNAcentral